GAGGAGAAAAGGCCCCAUUUCAGGAACUAGAGGAAUGGAUAGGUUUCGUUCAGAAGAAGCUUUUUAUGUUAAUCCUUUGCCCGACUGUUUAUGUCAGAGACAACAACCAAAUUCACAAACUUCGUCUUUCAUUCGAAGAUAAAAAGUAUAUACAAAUAUGGAAUUAACUGAAAAAAUUUGUGAAUGAAGAAGAAGGCUUUUGGCCUCGUGGUUUCUGAUGUCAAUGGAGGCAUCAAGGAUACAGAGUUUGUAUAUCACGAGAAAAUAUAGACUGUUGCGGAUUGAUUAACUGAGUUAAUUUGCUUCCAAUUAUAAUAUCGGAAGCUAACAUCGGC
This 335-nucleotide unclassified non-coding RNA is filed under the name Hevea brasiliensis (rubber tree). Lineage: Eukaryota; Viridiplantae; Streptophyta; Magnoliopsida; Malpighiales; Euphorbiaceae. The record is from RNAcentral.